AAGCAGGGGAUCGUAAGACCUUGCACUUUUGGAGCGGCCGAUGUCUGAUUAGCUAGUUGGUGGGGUAAUGGCCUACCAAAGCUUCGAUCAGUAGCUGGUCUGAGAGGACGGCCAGCCACACUGGGACUGAGACACGGCCCAGACUCCUACGGGAGGCAGCAGUGGGGAAUUUUGGACAAUGGGCGCAAGCCUGAUCCAGCCAUGCCGCGUGAGUGAAGAAGGCCUUCGGGUUGUAAAGCUCUUUCAGUCGGGAAGAAAAGGUUGCGACUAAUAAUCGCAAUUCAUGACGGUACCGGAAGAAGAAGCACCGGCUAACUACGUGCCAGCAGCCGCGGUAAUACGUAGGGUGCGAGCGUUAAUCGGAAUUACUGGGCGUAAAGCGUGCGCAGGCGGUUUUGUAAGUCAGAUGUGAAAUCCCCGGGCUUAACCUGGGAACUGCGUUUGAAACUACAAGGCUAGAGUGUGGCAGAGGGGGGUGGAAUUCCGCGUGUAGCAGUGAAAUGCGUAGAGAUGUGGAGGAACACCGAUGGCGAAGGCAGCCCCCUGGGUCAGCACUGACGCUCAGGCACGAAAGCAUGGGGAGCAAACAGGAUUAGAUACCCUGGUAGUCCAUGCCCUAAACGAUGUCAACUAGUUGUCGGGCCUUAACGGGCUUGGUAACGUAGCUAACGCGUGAAGUUGACCGCCUGGGGAGUACGAUCGCAAGAUUAAAACUCAAAGGAAUUGACGGGGACCCGCACAAGCGGUGGAUUAUGUGGAUUAAUUCGAUGCAAC
RNAcentral lists this ribosomal RNA (774 nucleotides) under uncultured bacterium. Its description in RNAcentral is "bacterial SSU rRNA". It matches the Rfam family "Bacterial small subunit ribosomal RNA", at positions 202 to 960 of the family's 1533-position model. The record is from RNAcentral.